This 424-nucleotide ribosomal RNA is filed under the name uncultured bacterium. RNAcentral describes it as "partial 16S ribosomal RNA". It matches the Rfam family "Bacterial small subunit ribosomal RNA", at positions 360 to 776 of the family's 1533-position model. The record is from RNAcentral.
AAUUUUGGACAAUUGGCGCAAGCCUGAUCCAGCCAUGCCGCGUGAGUGAAGAAGGCCUUCGGGUUGUAAAGCUCUUUAAGUUGGGAGGAAGGGCAGUAAGUUAAUACCUUGCUGUUUUGACGGUACCGACAGAAUAAGCACCGGCUAACUACGUGCCAGCAGCCGCGGUAAUACGUAGGGUGCGAGCGUUAUUCGGAAUUACUGGGCGUAAAGCGUGCGCAGGCGGUUGAUUAAGACGGGCGUGAAAUCCCCGGGCUUAACCUGGGAACUGCGCUUGUGACUGGUCAGCUAGAGUACGGCAGAGGGGGGUGGAAUUCCACGUGUAGCAGUGAAAUGCGUAGAGAUGUGGAGGAACACCGAUGGCGAAGGCAGCCCCCUGGGCCGAUACUGACGAUCAUGCACGAAAGCGUGGGUAGCAAAAAGG